GCGACGGUAGCUCAGCGGUAGAGCAGGUGUUCCGUCAUUCUUGUCGCGCUCGAUGAUGCUUCGGUUCAAUUGCUUCAACGUCGUCUCCAUCGAAUGCAGGUGGAACUACAGGGGUGCAGAGAUCGCAGGUUCGAAUCCUGCCCGUUGCC
This 149-nucleotide transfer RNA is filed under the name Lysobacteraceae bacterium. RNAcentral describes it as "tRNA-OTHER". It matches the Rfam family "tRNA". From Rfam's summary of the family: Transfer RNA (tRNA) molecules are approximately 80 nucleotides in length. Their secondary structure includes four short double-helical elements and three loops (D, anti-codon, and T loops). Further hydrogen bonds mediate the characteristic L-shaped molecular structure. tRNAs have two regions of fundamental functional importance: the anti-codon, which is responsible for specific mRNA codon recognition, and the 3' end, to which the tRNAs corresponding amino acid is attached (by aminoacyl-tRNA synthetases). tRNAs cope with the degeneracy of the genetic code in two manners: having more than one tRNA (with a specific anti-codon) for a particular amino acid; and 'wobble' base-pairing, i.e. permitting non-standard base-pairing at the 3rd anti-codon position. The record is from RNAcentral. Lineage: Bacteria; Pseudomonadati; Pseudomonadota; Gammaproteobacteria; Lysobacterales; Lysobacteraceae.